Molecule: ribosomal RNA, 408 nt
Filed under: uncultured bacterium
Lineage: Bacteria
Description: partial 16S ribosomal RNA
Rfam family: Bacterial small subunit ribosomal RNA
Source: RNAcentral
GACGAACGCUGGCGGCGUGCUUAACACAUGCAAGUCGAACGAAGUGGCGAACGGGUGAGUAAUACGUGGGGAACCUGCCCUCCUGGUUGGGGUAAACCUUGGAAACGGGGAGUAAAACCGAAUCACGGGGGAUGGGCUCGCGGCCUAUCAGCUUGGUGGGGGGGUGAUGGCCUACCACGGCGGUGACGGGUAGGCGGCCUGAGAGGGUGAUCGGCAACAUUGGGACGGAGAGACGGCCCAGACUCCUACGGGAGGCAGCAGUUGGGCAAAUUGCACAAUGGACGUAGGCCUGAUGCAGCGACGCCGCGUGGGGGUUCAAGGCUUUCGGUUUGUAAACCUCUGUCGCUAUCGAACGGGUAGGUGCAGAAGAAGCGCCGGCUAACUACGUGCCAGCAGCCGCGGUAAUUC